AUUCGUGCUGCUCAGUGCAGCUUCCUCCGUGUUCCAUGAUUUUUGCGUCCAAAUUGCCGAUUCUGCUCAGGCCAUUGUAGCCUCCAUCGACUACCGUCUCGCACCGGAGCACCGACUUCCAGCAGCCUACGACGAUGGUGCUGAAGCGCUGCGGUGGAUUGGAAACUGCAAAGAUGAGUGGUUGCGUCAGUACGCUGAUUAUUCUAAGUGUUAUCUUAUGGGAAAUAGUGCUGGGGCAACUAUCGCUUACCAGACAGGUCAGUCUCCUUCCACUUCAUCUCUGUUUUAAAUUCUUUUAUAUUUAUAAAUAAUUCAAACUUUAAUUAGUUUUUUAUUUUAUUUUUCAUACCAAGUUAAUAAAAUAAAGAUGAUGUAAAACAAUAUUAAUUAAUGAAAUUGAAUAAUUUUUAUUUUUAAUAAAGUAAGUUUGCUAAUAAAAAUUUAUUUAAAAGUUUUUAAUUUAUUAGAUUAAAAAUAGAAGGAAAAACUUUAUUAUUUUUAAAAUUAGAAUUCUUCUAGGCAAUUUUUUAUUAUUGUAAAAUUAUAUGAAAAAAUUUAAUUUAUUUUUAAAAUUAGAAAUAAAAUUAUUUAUUUUUCAUAAUUAAAAUAAAAAAUUUCAUUUUUUUAAAAAUCAAAUUUAACUUUACAUUAAAAAAAGUAAAUAAAAAUCUCAUAAUUAUAUUUUAAUAAUAUAAUUAGAGUUAAUUUAAAAAUAAAAAAAAUAUUUAAUAAAAAUGUAAGUUUUAAUAAAAAUUAAAUUUGAUAUCCAGUGAAAAGAAAAAUGAAAUUAAAUUGAACAAAAUUAAAACUACAUUGAAUGAAAUUAAAAAAUUAAGAUUUAAUUGAUUAGAGGACAUGCAUUACUCUAAUAUUAACAUCUACCAUUACUACUAACUUAAAAUAUAACACUCACCGAUUCUAUACAUCACAGUCACACUUAUUUAACAUUAAUUUGACAUGAAACAAUAUUUAUUUUAUAAGUGUUAAACUUUCUUUAGAUUUAAAAAUUAAAAAAUAAAUAAAAAUCAUAAACAUGUUAUAUAUUAUUCAUCUUCGAUUAACUAUUUAGAAAAAAUCAUAAAAAAAUCAAAUUAAUUAUAAAUUAUAAAAUUUAAAAUUACACUAAACACUAAAAAAAUAAAUCUCACAUUAUCAAACAUAAUGAAACAAAAGGACAAAAAUAAAAAAUAAAAUUAGUAUUAAACAAAAAUAAAAAACAAAAGUAGUAUUAAGUCUUUAAGAAAUGCUUUUAAUUUUUAAAUUAUGAUUGAUGUGGCAAAUAAUCUAAUUAAAAGAGCUAUUUUCUUAAAAAACAAAAGUCAAGGUUUCCAUUUUUCGUUAUUAAAUAAACACUUAUAAUUAGUGAUUAGAAUGAAACAGAAUUCAUUCCAAAGAAACUGUAUGGAGAAGAAGCUGUAAUCUAAUACUUUUUUUUUUAUUUUUUGAAGUUAGUUUUUCAAAUUAAACAUAACUAACAAACAAAAGGGUAUUCUAAACAACUUUUUAUAUACAUUUUACAUUUAUUAUUUUAUUCUUUGAUAUUUUUUUUUCCUUUAUCAAUAUAAAAAAGUUAAUUUUUUGUUAUGACCAAAAUAUUUCUGAAAGUCAAUGAUAAAAUGAUGUUAGAAAAACGUUUUUUUCUAAACAGAAACGUAUGAUAAAAGAAAAAGUUUUAUUAAUUGUUUACAAUAAAUAAUUUUAAAAGAAUAAUUAUUACAAUCAACUUAAAGCUAGUUGAAAAAAGUUGAGAGAGAAAGAAAUAUCCAUAAAUAAACAUCCAACUAUGAAUAUUAGUCUUUAAAGAUUUGUUUCAUGAAAGUGAAUUUCCUUUCCUUGCAGGUCUACGUGCAGUUGAAGAGGUGAACGAUCUUGAUCGAGUGAAGAUCCAAGGGUUGAUAUUGCGUCAACCAUUCUUCGGUGGAGUGCAGAGGACAGAAUCAGAGUUAAGGCUGGAGAAUAACCCACUCCUUCCUCUAAGUGUUACGGAUUCGAUGUGGGAGUUGGCACUACCAACUGGUGCUGAUCGUGACCAUGAAUAUUGCAGUGUAAGGGCUGGAAAUGGGGUUGAGAAAUUUGAGAAGAUGAGGGAACUUGGUUGGAGGGUGCUGGUGAGUGGCAACAAUGGUGACCCAUUGGUGGAUCGUGAUAAGGAGUUGGUGCAAUUGAUGGAAGGAAAAGGGGUGAAAGUGGUGAAGGAUUUUCAAGAAGAAGGUUGUCAUGGAGUUGAACUCUUUGACCCAUUGAAAGCAAACCAGUUCAUUGAUUUGGUUAAACAGUUCAUUAAUCCAAUCUGUGUUUAGGGCUAAAUUAUAAUCAUGUUCUUGUCUACAAAACAUAAUUUACCAUGUUACGUUCAUAGUUAUUUCAACCUUCUCUAAUAAAACAUGAGAAAAAUAUGUUUUUCUCCUUUAAGUAUUGAGUAAAAUUAAAAAUAGUUUAUGAUUGAAUUUUUUUUUUAUCUUGUUUUGUAUUUUUAAAAAUAUUGGUUUAAAUAUUAUUGUACUAGAUGGUCAUCCGGCUAUGUUACGAGAGAGGAACGUCCAACCCUGUGUGCUUUAACCUUUAAAUCUGAACCAGACACAAAUGAACAUCAUUCAGCCAUGUUCAAGUAGAGGUUGAACAUGUAGUUUUUAUAGCAAAGUACUUUUUAAGGAAUAAUGAUAUUUAGACAACAUUUUUUGACAAUAUUUAGACACAGGACACGUGUCUAAAUGUGAUUGGUCCACUUGAAAAUUGAUUUUAAAAUCGAUUGCUGACGUGCACGGACAAAAAGGAGGCAAAUUUUGAAUCUGAAAUGCAUUUCUGAAAUUUUGGCAUUCGACACAUUUGAGAGAGGAAGAAGUGAAACGCUCGAGAACCUAGUCACCACCGCCAAUGACGAUCUCGUUCCUACCGGCCACCACUAUCGCCAGAAUGCCGCCGCCGGAGACCCGUCGCCCGUCUGCUAUCUUCACUCCACCCAAAAUCGCGUUUCCAUUUGCUCAACGACAGAACCUUAAACCCAAAGCCAAGUGAGUCUUCACUUUUUUCCUCAACUAGAUGAUGAAUAAUUGUUUCUUUCUUUCUCUAUUUUUUUUUUCCAAUUUUAUUUUGUGGUUUUGGUUUUGUUUCAAUGCCUGUGAUUUGAGGCCAUGUUGCAUGCGUCCAUGGUGAUUACUAAUUCGGUUGUUUUGGUGGCUCUCAGUGCGAAUCAUUUUGGAAUUCAAUUUUAAUGUGGUUUAGGUGAACCCUCGUUGUUGUUUUGUUGCUGGAAAUUAUUUUUUUUGUCGGGUUCUUGAAGGUUGUAUUGAUGCCUUUGUGAAGUCAUUAAGCAUUAGUAGGGAUGGCAAAAACAUUCGUGUCUACAGAUAUCCGCGAAUAAAAUCCGCGAUGGAUAGUUGAUAUCCGCGGAUAUUUACUACCCGAAACCCGAGGAUAGCGGGUAUUUUAGUACCCGCUUAUAAACGGGGUCGAGUGUGAGUAUUAUACUAUCUGCAGAUAUCCGCUACCCGCAAAAAAUAAAAAUAAAAUUUUUAUUUUAUUUUAUUAAGUUAAAUCUAAUUAAAAGUAGCAUUAAUUUAUAUUUUACAAGGUUAAAUUUAAUUAAAAUUGUACUAUUUGAAGUAUACCGAUCAAAAUUAAUUGUCAUUUAUGGACAAUUAACAAGUAUUCAUAGGUCAGAUUGUGUGACACCUGGGCACUGACGAGGGCGGCUCCUAGCAGGUGCAAGAAGGAGCAGUUCCUGGCAGGCUUCGAGUGGAAGGGGCACAUGGACGAAUCGAACAUACAUCGGAAUGGGAGGGAUCUGGAGAUUGUAUAAGUAUGAGACUAUACAGUUGAAGGAUAGAUUAAAGGAAUUGAUUUGACUACUCAUAUCAACAAAUGCAUUUGCUUUUCAGUAGCCUAACUCAUAAGAACUCCAUGGUUAAGCGUGCUUAGCCUAGAGUAAUUAUGGGAUGGGUGACCUUCCGGGAAGUUUUCUCGGAAAGUGUGUGAGUGAGGACAAAGCACACUGGAAAGUCUCGUGUUGAUGUGUGGGGGCAGUCAGCAGUCCCUGUAAGAGGUCAUUUACAAAAUAAAAUAUACGGUAUUAAUUAUUGAUGAUUGGAUUUGAUUACCUAAAAAUAUACUGCACAAUGCACAAUCAAUGGACCAGAGUGGAUGACAUCCUCAGGAAGGAUUGAAGAUCAAAAGAGAACAAAGCAAAGAAGAACGACUGACCCUCAGACUAAUUCAACCGAAACAAAAAUUAAAUUUUAAUUAUAUUUUAUAAAUUUUUUUGUAAUUCUAUUUAAAUUUUGUUUUAAUAAUUUAUAAACAUAUAUUUUUUUUUAAAUAUUUGCGGGUAUCCACGGAUAUCCGCGGGUUUUAAAAUAUCCGCGGAUAUUUUUUAAGCGGGUAUCCAUGCGAGUAGUAGGUCGAGUAGCGGGUGAAUUUUUUUAAUCGGAUUGGAUUGCGGGUAGUCACUAUCCGUACUCGACCUGACCCAUUGUCAUCCCUAGACAUUAGUAUAGGACUUCCUUGGUUCAUUUUAUUUUAGGAUGGGUAUAUACAUGACAUGUUAUGUUGGGUAUCUAUAUAUGGCAAACCAACCAUUAAUAGCAUGCUGCUCCCGGCCCAUGUACAUCAAGAAACAAUGUCCAAGCAGCAGCUUCUUAGGGGUGCAGAUGGUAACGUCCAACAAAGAUGGUGAGCCCAGCAGCUUGGAGAAAGGCGUCCUGUUGCCAACUGAGAGAGAGGUGUGCUCAUGGUCCAGCUUUGAAGGAGGGAACUAUCUCGGUCCAGCAAGAAGCACACAACAGCUUGAGGCCAGCACGUGAAGUAUAAAAAAAGAAUUGACACCUUGGGCCAACAUCUCGCGAGGAAGAGAAGAUAGAGUUGCAGCAUUGCUUCAUGGUGCACAGGCGGUCCAGACUUCAUCACCCCAGCAGCACAUCAUCAUGGACAGUAGCACUUGAAGAGGUGCAUCCAGCAGCUUUGGUCCAGCACUGCAUAUGUUACGACCUAGGAAAUAAAAGAAACAGCCUGCACAUUCCAGUGUUGAAUUGAAGAAGCAUCCCAGGUCCAGUUCGCUGCAUCCGGACACAUGUUGGAUCAAAAGCAAGCUCAGCAGCUUGGGUGCACACAACGGGCUGAUUCACGUCCAGCCAACACGGUCCAACUUUGAUAAAAAGUUGCAGCAGCCAACACGGUCCAACUUUGAUAAAAAGUUGCAGCAGCCAGCCCAUGUGUGCGUUGAAAGCAAAGUGGUGCAUCCAGCAGUUUUUUUUAACACGUCCAGCAAGGCCUAAAAGCGUUGCUUCAUGGUGCACACGGACGAGCCUCGUCCAGCAGCUUAAGAGCUCCAUGCUGACAGCAAGAAAAUAGGGCACCUGGGGAUUGAUACCGAGAACGGUUGUCACUUGCAGAGAGUAGUUUUUUUUGGCUUUUGAAAAACGUUUUUUUUCUUUCCGGUGAGCUUAUGGGUUUUUCGGUGAUGGAUUAUGGAUGAAUAAAAAAAAACACUCUUUUCUCUUUGCUUUCAUCUUGUUCAACGUUGUUGCUGCUGGUUCAAGCUGGAAUGUUCUUUUUCUUUUGGAGUUUAUCAUUGAAUGUUAUGGUGCAGACCUAGCAGUAGCUUAUGCUGAUUUUUCCUUCAUGAAAGUUUGGUUGUAAGUUACGAAUGAAAGCUCGUUUGUUUAUUUAAUUUUACUGCAUUUAAUCUUUGCCCUUCUAUUUGAUGUCUUGCACUUUUUGGUUGAAGUUGCAAUCCAUCCAUGUCACGGUGAUGCAACGUUGCUGUCAAAGCUUAGUUUUAUUUUUUUUUUAGCAUGAUAAGUGUAUUAGGUGGCAGCUGGUUAUGUGUAGCAAUUUAUUGCUUACAUUUGAUUGGAGCAGUGCAGUAGGGGUUCAUUUUGCAUUUGGAAUUAACACAUCUUGAAGGGAGAGCUCGGUGGAUUUCUUUUGUUUUAUUUAUUAUGUGGUUUGCUUUAACAAAUUCAGGUGCAACAGUUUUAUUUUUCUAAUAAAUGUUUGAUUCAUCUUGGGAGAAGUAGCGUAGAGGCAAGGAGAGUUCCAUGGCUGCGACAAUGUUUAAUAAUUUAUUAGCUAAGCAUUGUUCUUUUAUUUCAAGUUUUAUUGCAACAAUAUGCAUUUCUUUUAUUUUAGCUGAAAUGUUGCAUUUUAAUAUUUUCUUUUAUUUUAAUGUUGUCUAGUAUUUUUGGUAGUGUUAAUUUAAUUGUCUGUUGCAUGCAUUUUUGUUUUAAUUUAAUUUUUCCGCAUUCACAAACCUUUCACAAACCCCCCCACUUCGUGUUGGACCUAAUUCUUGAACCGCAGUUGGUCCUUGAGAGACGACCUAAGAGUCACUUCCUAGUCUAUACUGCAUUUCUCAUAUGCAAUCAAAUUUGAUUGGGCGGCGACACCCAUCAGUGUGCUCUAGGAAAGGUAAAUAUGUUUCCUCGAUCAACCCCGAAGUUAAAACAAUUCCCAGUCAAACCAAACAAUGUCCAGCUGGAAUAACGAUUUCAAAGAAGGACGACAAAUGGUUUAUAAGAACUGUCAACUUAGACCACAGCCAUGACAUAUGUCCAACUACUUCAAAGUUAAUCCCUGGGAAUAGGAAAUUGAGCAUGCAAAGCAAACACACUUUGGAGGUGAAUGACGAAGCUGGAGUGCGGAUUAAUAAGAGUUACCUUAGUAUAAUGACCGAUGCAGGUGGAUAUGAUAACAUGGAAUUUACAGAGCGAGAUGUUAGGAACUACAUUGGUAAACACAGAAGGUCCUUAUGUAAGGACGGUGAUGGACAAGCAUUGUUGCGACACUUUUCGGCAAAGAAAGAUUUAAACAAAGAUUUCUAUUACGAGAUUGAGUUGGAUGAAGGCAAUAGAAUUUGUUCUGUUUUCUGGGCGGAUGCGAGAAGUAGAGCAGCUGAUGAAGAAUUUGGGGAUGUGCUGUGUUUCGACACAACUUAUUUAACCAAUAAGUAUGAUAUGCCUUUUGCGCCUUUUGUUGGAAUCAAUCAUCAUGGGCACUCAAUAUUACUUGGCUGUGGAUUGCUAUCGUCCGAAGACACAAACUCUUUUGUGUGGUUGUUCCAAUCGUGGUUGAGAUGCAUGGGUAAUAAGGCCCCAAUAGGGAUUAUAACUGAUCAAUGUAGGGCAAUGGCAAAUGCCAUUGAAGAAGUUUUUCCUAAUACCAGGCAUAGAUGGUGUUUAAAAGUUGCCAGAAAAGUUUAGCGCUUGUCAGGAAUAUAAUAGUAUCAAAUCACAUAAUAAGAAGCUUGUGUAUGACUCCAUUGGAUUUUGAAAGUGGUUGGGAAGCACUACUAAGCAGACAUGGAUUACAUCAGAAUGAAUGGUUAUGCACAAUGUAUGACGACAGACACAAAUGAGUAUUUUAGUUUUAUGUUUGUCCAUUUAAGACUUUGUUUUCUGUUGAAAUUGAGUCUAAUUAUAAUUGUCUUCAUUUAGGGGACUACAUUACCUAACCUAACACAAAGUGAGGAAGACAUACAAUUUGGAUCCCAAUCUUACCAAUGCUACGAUGUAUCCCAACAAUCCAACAUAGCUCAAUCUGGAUUUAUGUCAUUGUUAAAUGCUGCACACAACAACUAUGAUGACAUCAUUGUAUGAUGUAUAUUGUUGGUUGAAUGUGAAAUUAAGUAAUUUUUUUUUUGUGUUAUGGAAUACCUUAAUUUAUAUCUUAUCAUCACAAAAAGCACCACUAAUAGUAAUCGAUUACGUGGUGGGUGUAAACGAUUACAACAGCAGCGUAGGACUUAAUUGCCCACUAUGCAACGUAGUGUACCCACGUCUCCCUUAUAACUUCUACUGCACUGUCAAUUUAACUGUCCACUACUGUCACUUAACCAUUUGGGAUUUUAUCAACUUCCACAUCACUUCCUACAUAUACGAACCCUAUCAUAAUUAUUCUCCAAUUAAAAAUCCUAACACAAUUGCAAUGGGUGAUCGCGCUAAAAAGAAACAAAAGCCAUCUUCUUCCGAUGAGGGCGGACGUCGUCGACAACACAGUCCGACACCAUCCCCACCACCGUCAUCACCGCACCCAGUGCACGACCUAUUCUCCAGUAUGGAACAACAGGAGAAAUUUGCUAAGCAUUUUGUCAAUCGAGAAGUAUUAAAAAGCAAGUUCUUAGACGCGGAGUACUUCGAAGAAUCAAAUUUCGAAUUCUAUCAGAUAUUGUGUGAUGCUGGACUNAAGGAAUUUGUUUGCUUGAGAGAUUCUUUCUACCCANAAUUAGUAAGAGUGUUUUACAACAACAUGGUCAUUUCUCACACUGGAGUGAUUCGAACAGAGGUAAAGGGUGUGAAAAUAAAAAUUAGCCCUAANCUCUUUAAUGAGAUUACCUCUCUCCCAUCCAAUGGUGCUCGUUUUGAAGGACGUAUUGUGGAUGACUAGAAAGAAUACUAUAACUCCGUAAGUGGUAGGGAAUUUGUCCGUAGAGAUGAUGCUGAAAUACUUCUGAGGUUAACUGCAGGGCAAAUGAAGGUUCAACAUAGGAUUCUACAUUACGUUCUUACAAGGAUUUUAAUUCCUCGCUCAACCAACAUUGGACAGCCAACUGAAGAGGAUAUUAUGCUGAUCUGGGCUCUUUUCAAUGGUAAGGAAAUUAACUAGGGACAUCUUAUAAGGUACAAGAUGAAGAAGGCAUUAAAGGACAAAGCCAAACUACCUUAUCCUCAUUUGAUAACAAUGUUUUUGGAAUGCUUUGAAGUUCCUUUUGACAAUGAUCCUGUGACAGAAAUUAUGUGCAAGCAAAAGAUGGGAUAUGGUACUAUUCGGUCAUUUGGUUAUGUGCAGAACGAACACGGAGAGUGGGUAGUACAAAAACAAAAUACCCCCAAUGCUGAAGAUGAAGCCACAGAAGAUGAAGACAAUGAUGACGACAAUUCUUCUACAACACUAAGUGAUGUCAUGAAUCGUAUAGAUCAAAUGCAGACAUUCGUCGCCUCUAGAUUGGAUGGAAUACAAACUCGUUUUGAUCAAUUGGAGAGUACGAUGGGCACAAGAUAUGACAACUUCCAAACGCAAUUUGGAAACAUCGACACAGCCAUUGGGAGCAUGGAGGAGGAACUGCAGCACCUCCACAUGCGCUUUGAUAAUGCUCCUCAACCUUGAAAUGUGGUUCUUUCUCUUUGUUUAUUGAAAUGAUGAACUGUAAUAGUCUUUUUUAUUUUCAUUACUUAGUCUUAGUCUCUGUUGUGGUAAUCCUUUGUUAUUGUUAAUGAAAGUUGUGGUGAAGAAUGUAUCAACAAAACCAAUGUUUGUUUUUCUUAAUGCAAUAUUCCCAAACUGGUUCAUGUGUACAAUAGGGUCCUCUACGUUAUGAUUAGUGGUUCCUGCAGACGGAAUUUGUGUCCAAAAAUGAACUUUCAUUACCGUAAUUGUUUACAAUGACAGUGUAAACGAUUACAUUUAACAACUUUCGCACAAAGGUUAAAUGGUUCACUAUGUUUAAGUUCCAAUGACACUCGUACUGUCAUUAUUUAUAUUCUUUAUUAAUCCACUAAUUGUUUAAAUUGACCGAUACAAUUGAAUCCCUUCCAAUUCAUGGUUAUUCAAAUGGUUUUACCACUUUCAAAUUGGUUGNUAAGUCUGUUGACUGCAUUAAUGGUGCAUUAAACCCCAUUUAAAGGUCCAACAUUAUCAUAAAGCCAUUCAAACUGAUUUGUAAACUUUAACACAACAUUUAAUGCUCUAUUUUGACCAUAGCGGUUUUCUAGAAGUUAAGGAAGAACCUAUGUGGCUAUAAAUUUGAGAGGUUUCAUUGUACUUAACAAAGAGAAACCCUAAUACAUCACCACGUUAUUUUCUUGUUUGGGAAAGCAUGGCAUCAUCAUCAACUCAGCAAUCGUCUACAAUAUUGUGGGAAUUCGUCACCAUCCACCUGAAAGAUAUGGUAAAAAUCUUGUUGUUAUUAUAUAACGUUUUAAACUACUAUUACUUUCACACCUACAUUUGCAGGAUUUUGGCUAUGUGGAUAGGCACUUUGUUGCGGCCUUCGAGAAUGAAUUAGGAACAACGUGGACGCUGUUCGACAAUCAUGGUCGAACGCACUACGUUACUUACAACAUGAACACCUUACAACCAAGAAUUACAACUGGAUGGACUUCCAUGAGAGACGUAUACCAUGAAAGGCUUGAUGAUGCGCACAUCACGUUCCAAUAUUUGGGUGACAACCAUUUCAACAUUAUAAUUUAUUUUGGCCCUUGCAGCAACAAUAGUAGGGAAUAUUUCAUUCAUCAAUCUACCUAUGAUCCUGAGGCGUCUUUAUUCGCUGUGAAAUUGACUAAAUCACAAUGUCAAGGAAGUCAUUUGGUACGUAUCCAAUUUUUCUACUUAACCAAAAUUGUUUUGCAUGACUAUUAUCGAAUAACUUAUUACUGGAUCUUUUGCAGUAUUUGAGAACCAAUUUUGAGAAUGCAAUCAAGAACAACGACUUUACAGAGGUUGUGUUUCUUGGUCAUAAGGAGGGCAUCCGGUGCAAGGUUCUGGUUUCACAUACUAGGAAUUCAACGAAGUUUGGAAAAGGGUGGAGAGAUUUUUGCAGUGAAUAUGGCUUGAAGGAAGGAGACGUUCUUGUCUUUGAAGUUCAGAACCAUGUCCAUGACAUUGCUGUAGAAGUGCACAUUAAUGGAUGUAUCUGUAAUGUUAACACCCAUAUAUCGCUGUGAAGUAGACUACAGAACUUCUAUUUCUGUUCAACUUAUGUUAUAUUUAUAUUACAAUAAAACAUGGUUUAAGGUUACAUCGAAUUAAUGAAAUACAAUUAUGUAUUCCCUAUUACAUCUUAUGUACAUGAUGUCGUCAAACUACAUUAUUACCCUACUAAAAAUUACAUGAAGUNAACGAACUUAGUAAGAAAUUUCUAACAUGGUCCCCUGUGACCAAAAAAAUGGAUCCCUACGUUGAGGUUUUUGUCCAAAACAGCAAUUCAGUUCUGUGUAAUCGUUUACAGCUACGAUGUAAACGAUUACAGCAGCUGUUUCUGCAGAAUCAGUUUCCUUUGGUGUUGUGAGCACUCACCAAUGGUGGUCUCCUUCCAAACCCAACAAAGUUGAACCAAGAGGACAACAUCUCUCACACCACAAAUUGCCAAAAAAAUUAGUUGAACCACAGUAUCUCAUUUUGACACAACUUUAACAACUUUAAUUGAUGAAUUAAAGUAACGUAGUGCAUUCGACCAUGAUUGUCGAACAGCGUCCACGUUGUUCCUAAUUCAUUCUCGAAGGCCGCAACAAAGUGCCUAUCCACAUAGCCAAAAUCCUACAAAUGUAGGUGUGAAAGUAAGAGUAGUUUAAAACGUUAUAUAAUAACAACAAGAUUUUUACCAUAUCUUUCAGGUGGAUGGUGACGAAUUCCCACAAUAUUGUAGCCGAUUGCUGAGUUGAUGAUGAUGCCAUGUUUUCCCAAACAAGAAAAUAACGUGGUGAUGUAUUAGGGUUUCUCUUUGUUAAGUACAAUGAAACCUCUCAAAUUUAUAGCCACAUAGGUUCUUCCUUAACUUCUAGAAAACCGCUAUGGUCAAAAUAGAGCAUUAAAUGUUGUGUUAAAGUUUACAAAUCAGUUUGAAUGGCUUUAUGAUAAUGUUGGACCUUUAAAUGGGGUUUAAUGCACCAUUAAUGCAGUCAACAGACUUANCAACCAAUUUGAAAGUGGUAAAACCAUUUGAAUAACCAUGAAUUGGAAGGGAUUCAAUUGUAUCGGUCAAUUUAAACAAUUAGUGGAUUAAUAAAGAAUAUAAAUAAUGACAGUACGAGUGUCAUUGGAACUUAAACAUAGUGAACCAUUUAACCUUUGUGCGAAAGUUGUUAAAUGUAAUCGUUUACACUGUCAUUGUAAACAAUUACGGUAAUGAAAGUUCAUUUUUGGACACAAAUUCCGUCUGCAGGAACCACUAAUCAUAACGUAGGGGACCCUAUUGUACACAUGAACCAGUUUGGGAAUAUUGCAUUAAGAAAAACAAACAUUGGUUUUGUUGAUACAUUCUUCACCACAACUUUCAUUAACAAUAACAAAGGAUUACCACAACAGAGACUAAGACUAAGUAAUGAAAAUAAAAAAGACUAUUACAGUUUAUCAUUUCAAUAAACAAAGAGAAAGAACCACAUUUCAAGGUUGAGGAGCAUUAUCAAAGCGCAUGCGGAGGUGCUGCAGUUCCUCCUCCAUGCUCCCAAUGGCCGUGUCGAUGUUUCCAAAUUGCGUUUGGAAGUUGUCAUAUCUUGUGCCCAUCGUACUCUCCAAUUGAUCAAAACGAGUUUGUAUUCCAUCCAAUCUAGAGGCGACGAAUGUCUGCACUUGAUCUAUACGAUUCAUGACAUCACUUAGUGUUGUAGAAGAAUUGUCAUCAUCAUUGUCUUCAUCUUCUGUGGCUUCAUCUUCAGCAUUGGGGGUAUUUUGUUUUUGUACUACCCACUCUCUGUCUUCGUUCUGCACAUAACCAAAUGACCGAAUAGUAUCAUAUCCCAUCUUUUGCUUGCACAUAAUUUCUGUCACAGAAUCAUUGUCAAAAGGAACUUCAAAGCGUUCCAAAAACAUUGUUAUCAAAUGAGGAUAAAGUAGUUUGGCUUUGUCCUUUAAUGCCUUCUUCAUCUUGUACCUUAUAAGAUGUCCCCAGUUAAUUUCCUUACCAUUGAAAAGGGCCCAGAUCAGCAUAAUAUCCUCUUCAGUUGGUUGUCCAAUGUUGGUUGAGCGAGGAAUUAAAAUCCUUGUAAGAACGUAAUGUAAAAUCCUAUGUUGAACCUUCAUUUGCCCUGCAGUUAACCUCGGAAGUAUUUCAGCAUCAUCUCUACGGACAAAUUCCCUACCACUUACGGAAUUAUAGUCUUCUUUCCAGUCAUCCACAAUACAUCCUUCAAAACGAGCACCAUUGGAUGGGAGAGAGGUAAUCUCAUUAAAGAGUUUAGGGCUAAUUUUUAUUUUCACACCAUUUACCUCUGUUCGAAUCACUCCAGUGUGAGAAAUGACCAUGUUGUUGUAAAACACUCUUACUAAUUUUGGGUAGAAAGAAUCUCUCAAGCAAACAAAUUCCUUUAGUCCAGCAUCACACAAUAUCUGAUAGAAUUCGAAAUUUGAUUCUUCGAAGUACUCCGCGUCUAAGAACUUGCUUUUUAAUACUUCUCGAUUGACAAAAUGCUUAGCAAAUUUCUCCUGUUGUUCCACACUGGAGAAUAGGUCGUGCACUGGGUGCGGUGAUGACGGCGGUGGGGAUGGUGUCGGACUGCGUUGUCGACGACGUCCGCCUCAAUGGAAGAAGAUGACUUUUGUUUCUUUUUAGCGCGAUCACCCAUUGCAAUUGUGUUAGGAUUUUUAAUUGGAGAAUAAUUAUGAUAGGGUUCGUAUAUGUAGGAAGUGAUGUGGAAGUUGAUAAAAUCCCAAAUGGUUAAGUGGCAGUAGUGGGCAGUUAAAUUGACAGUGCAGUAGAAGUUAUAAGGGGGACGUGGGUACACUACGUUGCACAGUAGGCAAUUAAGUCCUACGCUGCUGUUGUAAUCGUUUACACCCACCACGUAAUCGAUUACUAUUAGUGGUGCUUUCUGUGAUGAUAAGAUAUAAAUUAAGGUAUUCCAUAACACAAAAAAAAAUUACUUAAUUUCACAUUCAACCAACAAUAUACAUCAUACAAUGAUGUCAUCAUAGUUGUUGUGUGCAGCAUUUAACAAUGACAUAAAUCCAGAUUGAGCUAUGUUGGAUUGUUGGGAUACAUCGUAGCAUUGGUAAGAUUGGGAUCCAAAUUGUAUGUCUUCCUCACUUUGUGUUAGGUUAGGUAAUGUAGUCCCCUAAAUGAAGACAAUUAUAAUUAGACUCAAUUUCAACAGAAAACAAAGUCUUAAAUGGACAAACAUAAAACUAAAAUACUCACACAUUGUUCAAUGGAUGUUCUUGAACUCUUUUUNGUUGACACACUUUUUCCUUUUUUGGUCCGUUUCUCAACGGCUGACUUUAACCUGUUGGUGCGAGGUCGGCCCCUCCGUUUCACUGCUAUAGGACUACGUACAAGUAAAUCACCACUUUCACAACUGCUUUGUUGUACGGAAGCAGGUACAACAUUUGUCAUAAAGUUUAUUUUUCUCUUUCCUCGUGACUUGUGAAUAUGAAGAAUUAUUAUACUUUGGCAGAAACUCAUUAUGUUAAAUACGUCAGCAGAAAGACUACCAACGUUAUUACAAUCCCAGACAAAGAAAGAAGAAAAGCAACGCUCCGAAUAGAAGAAAACGCUCGUUAUGGCAGAAACUCACUGCAUACCAAUAAUCGACAUUACAAGAAACUCACUGGAUUCAGAAACUGUUUACAAGAAACUUAUUCUUCGGGUAAGUUGGUUUUUUCUUCUUUAUCAUUGUUUCUUUCACUCACAUAAAUAUGAUGGUGAUUCUUGGAUUUUCAGCAUAUGGCUGCUGCAAGAAGUUUCAAUGUACGCCUCAGAAAAGAAGCUUUGAAGAAAAAAAGAGAAGCAAGGUAGCGCAUUCUUAAACCAAUCUUAUGAGUGAUGUUUUGAUCAUUAUGAGUGAUGUNUNAUGUUUGGUUAUUUCUUUCAGCNCAAAUUUGAAGUGCCCUCAUUCAGCUCCUGCAAAGUCAUCAAGGGCGUCAUCAUCACUCAAGAUGACCGACAAGAACGUCCAAGUUAAACCUCUUUCUAAGGUUGCAAGGUAGCGCAUUCUUAAACCAAUCUUAUGAGUGAUGUUUUGAUCAUUAUGAGUGAUGUUUGAUGUUUGGUUAUUUCUUUCAGCGCAAAUUUAAAGUGCCCUCAUUCAGCUCCUGCAAAGUCAUCAAGGGCGUCAUCAUCACUCAAGAUGACCGACAAGAACGUCCAAGUUAAACCUCUUUNNNNNNNNNNNNNNNNNNNNNNNNNNNNNNNNNNNNNNNNNNNNNNNNNNNNNNNNNNNNNNNNNNNNNNNNNNNNNNNNNNNNNNNNNNNNNNNNNNNNNNNNNNNNNNNNNNNNNNNNNNNNNNNNNNNNNNNNNNNNNNNNNNNNNNNNNNNNNNNNNNNNNNNNNNNNNNNNNNNNNNNNNNNNNNNNNNNNNNNNNNNNNNNNNNNNNNNNNNNNNNNNNNNNNNNNNNNNNNNNNNNNNNNNNNNNNNNNNNNNNNNNNNNNNNNNNNNUGCAAGGUAGCGCAUUCUUAAACCAAUCUUAUGAGUGAUGUUUUGAUCAUUAUGAGUGAUGUUUGAUGUUUGGUUAUUUCUUUCAGCGCAAAUUUGAAGUGCCCUCAUUCAGCUCUUGCAAAGUCAUCAAGGGCGUCAUCAUCACUCAAGAUGACCGACAAGAACGUCCAAGUUAAACCUCUUUCUAAGGUUGCAACAAUCCCCAAUGGUAAGGUGAGGCCAUCAACUCCGGUGGCCAAGGCCUUGACCACUCCAAGGAAUAAUCAAAAGAAGGUUUCCAAUGUAGAACCGUUUAGAAGUGUUCAGAGUGGCAAGAAAGUGUUGACUGUUGGUGUGCCUAAGAGUAGAGUGGUGUCUUCUAAGGCUCUUGUUUUUCCCUCGCCAAAGAAGGUCAUAAAGAUCAAGAAAUUUAUGGAAUUAAAAACUCCAAUGAGAGCACUGUGUUCAUUCCCAGUGAAGAAGAAUGAAGAAGGAGGAAGCAAGUCAUUGCAGUGACUGCCUCAAAAAAGCAAUUGAGGGGAAGAGAAGUCAAGAACCGUGUGUUUGAUUUCUUGAGUUCUAAUGACCGUAAGGAACCAGAAACUAAGUCAAUGUCAUGUUUGACCUUAAAACAGAACUCUUCAUCGACCACAACUGUAACUGAUGUAAGUAAGGGUUUAAGUUUAUUUACUUGUUAAAAAACAAUUUAUUUUAAUCAAGUGUGAUAGAUACGUGUUAUUUUUUAUGUUGCAGGAAAGAGGGAUUCUUAAAGAAGUAAACUUGGAUAGAAAAUCUCUUUCACCUUUAAAAGAAACCGCAGUUAAAGGUGGUGGAACAGCAACGAGGAAACAUCAGCACACUGAUUAUUAUAGCAGUUGUGAUGAGAAAUCACGCCCAAAAACACAGGAAAACCAAUCUGUAAGUUCAUGCACAGAAGAACAUGUUCACCUAUAAAUAUUUUAGCAUAAACAGUAUUUUUAGACAGUGACUAAAGACUUCCCAAAAUGUUACACAGGGUGGCAUUCAAAUUGACAACUCCCGNUGCAAGGUGCAACGUAAAGUAUCUGCUACAACACCUUUUAAAAAUGAUCCUCGUCCUAAACUUGAGAAACCCAAUGAUGUGAAUGAUAAAUUCAAAAGAAAAUCCGAAAUGACGCAACGUAAAGUUCUGAGGCCUCUAAGGUAAGUAAUAGUAAGAUUCUGAAACAUGUUGUGUUUGUAGUAAGCAACUUUGAUUCCAAUCUAAAUGUCUAUUGCAGUGCUUUACCAAGGAAGAAAGAAAAGGCUAUCAUUGCAACAAAACUUAGUGUUAUUAUCGAAAAGCCAUCAGAUAUUAUUGUGAAGCCAAAGGCAACAAAGCCACGGAAGGCAUUAAUUGUUCCUAUCGAACCAAAGUUCCACCGUCUACAUGUGUCAAAGGAUUGCAACAACAGUAAACGCACUUGAGAAAUUCAAUAUCAUAAUUGAAUUUUUAGUUAAUGAAAAAAAUGUAUUCUAGUAAUAUAUGUAACUUCCUAGUUUGUAGAUCUGUAAGUUAACGUGGAAAGAACUUUUUUUUGUUACCACAGCAUUAAAAUUUGUGGUAAUUGUAAGUUCAGACACGAUUCUUUUGUACUAUUUUUAUUUUUUGUAAACAUAAUUAACGUGGAGAGAACUUUUUUUUGUUACCACAGCAUUAAAAUGUGUGGUAAUUGUAAGUUCAAACACGAUUCCAUUGUACUAUUUUUAUUUUUUGUAGACGUAGUUAACAUGGAGAGAACUUUUUUUUGUUACCACAGCAUUAAAAUGUGGUAAUUGUAAGUUCAGACACGAUUCAUUUGUACUAUUUGCUUAAGUUUUGAUUUGUGAAUAACAUUAAUUCUUCCUCGGAUGUAUCUAACAACUUCAUCUACAAAAAAGUUGGUAUUUCAUAGUUUGUAUCUUCUAACCUGUCCUACAAUAUUUUAUGAUGUUUUUCCCUCUUCCUCGGAUGCGUCUUUUUCAAACAAAUAAGUAGCUCUGAUUAUAAAAAAAAAUGAGGAGCUUUCAAGAUUAUGGAUGCAAACUACACUUGGCCUACCAUGACCUUGGACCAUAUAUAAUCUUUUCUAAAUCCUUUUGUUUAAGCUUGUGGUGCAUUUUCUCUUCUGAAUUCCAAUUCUGUUUAUAUUCAAAAUUUAUCCUUUUGAUCAUCAACUCACUAGAACUUUUUCCAAGCUUUCUAAACAUCAGUUCUGUGGCAGAGAAGAGAAAAGGUAAAGGUUAUUAUUCAUAUUCCUUUUUCUUUUGAUUCGUGUUUCCUUCCCUUGAAUGAGCUUCUCCGUUAUUCUGCUAUGUAUUAUGUGAAUAUAGUUUCACUGAUUCAAAUUUCAAGUCUGCCAUGUGUUUGAGCUUAUUUGAUUUCUUUUCUACAAAGAUUUAUCUGAUUCAUGUCACCAUUAUAUGGGAUAUGGAUCCUUAGCCAUUAGGGAUUGAAUUAAUAGUUAAGGGGUGCUGCAUUUAUGGCUUCAACCAAACAAAAUCAAUGUUAACAGUGUAAUCAAUGUUAACCGUGUUUUGGAGAAGACUGAAGGCACUGAGAUUUGACACUUUGCAGUCAUUAUCCAAUAAAAUCUUCAUUCACUCACUUUGUUUUGUCUAUUUUUUGUGGGGAGGGAAAAGGACCUUCUCCUAUUGUAUUAAGUUAGCAGACAAGAACCAUUCAAAAGAGGAAAGAGUUUCAAAUUAGAAAAGAAAUAUGCAUAUUCACUGAUUUUGAAGAAUGUCUGGCAGGAACUUAGUUUCUAUGAAAAGAAUAAGUAAUCUGUGAACUAAGUGGAUGAAUGUGAUCAUCUCAUUGAAUGUAGAGGAUUGUCUUUGUCUCUGCAAUGAGAGCAAGAUAUAAGUGAUAGUAAGUUCCUAGUUCUUUGUUAACCAAUACCAUCUACUCAUUUUUCUAAUCUAAUUUCAAUAUGUAUGGUUCUGUGCUCACCAAUGAGAUUCUAUUAAUUGGUGGCAAAGGUUUAUGUAAAAUUUUAUUGAAUCUUAUCUGCUGUAACUUUUCAUUAAUUAGUGCAUAAGAAGUCUAACAUAUAUAUCUUUUUGAGGUCUAGUAUGGAAAACAACAUAAACAGUGAAAUCGUAGAACAAGGCUCCAGAAGUUUCAUCACUUAUCAAGUAUAUAUCAUCAAGUGAAAUCCCUAACUUUGAAUAGGGAUAAUUUCAGUUUCCCAGCCCAUCAUCCAAACUGUUUAGUGUUUUAUGUAUUCUGUCAGGGAUAAUUUAUUAUCCCUGUGUUUUCUGUUUUCACCGGAACCUAUUUAAAUAGGAUUCCAGCUUUUUCCAUUGUGAGAAUAGAAGAAGAGUAGUAGUAACAAUUCGAUCGAUAAUAAUAAAAGGCGUUUUGGAUUUCUCUUACCUUUUGGUGCGGUGCUUUAUCUUCUUGGACUCCGUCAUUCCUUUCUGAACAAAAGGUGCCUUGCCGGAGCAACGCCUGGAGAACAUGCGUCCCUCUUUCUCUCUCGCGUGUUGCAACAGGGAAGUGAAGCCGACACAAAAAAUUUAUUUUAUAAAGAAAAAGGCACAUGGCAUGCCAUUUGCCACUUAAUAUAAAAUUUAACACCAUUGAUUAAAUAAAAACUAAAAUCAACACUUUUAAAAAUACAGAAAUCCAAAUUGUAUAAAAUUUUAACCAAGAAUUAUUUUAAUUUUACUUAAUACUUCAUGAGAAAAAAAAACCUAUUUUUCACUAUAUAUAUUGAGAUCCCUUAAGCAUCUUAGUAAUUGCUCUGAUAGAUAAGUUUUGUCUUUUACAAUUAUGAUUGGAGUCUUCAAAGAGUAAUUUAGGAAUAAAAUGGUAUUUUCUUCUUCAUUAUUGUUAUUAAUACUAUUAUUAUAAUAUAUAAUAGAUGCUCUUUAUACUUUUUAUAACAUUUAUUCUUUCAUCGUAAAAGAAGAUUGUUCCUCGUUAGAGACAAUAACAAUGCAUCUGAUAUAAUACUUGAUACUCUUCUAUUGAUGAGAAAAUUAUUAAAAACUAUACACAUUAAAUGUUGGAUCGAUUAAAUAUUUUCGUUUCUUUUUAUAAAAUAAAUCAAGAGUAUAACUUUUGUUUAAAUAAAUGUUAGUGUUAUUAAUAUAUUUUAUUUGUUAAAGUUAUCUAUUUCAUGUUUUGGUGUCUGCCUUGGAGUUAGCAGCCAAGCAAUUCUUUGGAAAGCACUUGCCACAUCCCACUCAAUUUCUUCACAUAAGCCUCAAAGUCAACUUAGUCUUAUGGAUCAUAUCCAUUGUUCUUGUUACCAUAAUUUUCGCCACCUAUCUUCUCAAAAUAAUUCUCUACUUUGAAGCAUGGGUAGCCCUCUUGUUAUUAGCUCUUGGGGUUCCUCCAUCAGUGACCAAAAACUUGCACCAUGCCCUUUGGUACAUUCUAAUGAUACCAAUAUUUUUUCUUUAAAUUAAGAUCUAUGAUCUAUGGACAGUGGAUAUUAGGAUAUACAUUUUGGUGAGAUAAUGUUUGGAUGGAGACAUCUGGUAUUUCAGGUCUGUUUAUAUUUGAUUUGAGAUUUGUUAGCACCAUAAGUUGGUAUAAAUCUAAUAGAGAACUUGGUAUGAGUCAAUGUGAUGGUUUUAAGUUCAAAUAAGGAGGUUUUAGAUGGUUAGAGUUUCCUUAUAUGUACUGUUUUUCCCAUUUCCCUUUAAACCCUAAAUUCUAUAAAUAGAGUUCCCACACACAUACAGUUUGCGACAUUUUCAUAAAUAUAGAAUAAAAGUUUUCUCUUUCACUUACCUCUGUUGGGUGUACUCCUUUUUCACUUCUCUUUCGGUGCUACUUGCAUUUUCUUCAUCCAGCGUUGAUCUCCUUUCGAACGUCCUGGAGAAGCCACAUGGAGAGGUGGAGCUCUCUUUCUUUCUUCCCUCGAGCCACGCAUCUCUGACUUCACUGGAACUCUCUGGAAAGGAGAGAUAUUUCCUUUCGACUUGGGUCAAAAGGCUUGGGCCUCCCUGCUUCUCCAAGUUCGGCCCAUUUUAUUAGAAACAAUAUUUAUUUUAU
This 20067-nucleotide long non-coding RNA is filed under the name Vigna radiata. RNAcentral describes it as "long non-coding RNA (VRAD_LNC001366)". Lineage: Eukaryota; Viridiplantae; Streptophyta; Magnoliopsida; Fabales; Fabaceae. The record is from RNAcentral.